Molecule: ribosomal RNA, 484 nt
Filed under: uncultured bacterium
Lineage: Bacteria
Description: partial 16S ribosomal RNA
Rfam family: Bacterial small subunit ribosomal RNA
Source: RNAcentral
AUUGAACGCUGGCGGCAGGCCUAACACAUGCAAGUCGAGCGGAUGAAGGGAGCUUGCUUCUGGAUUCAGCGGCGGACGGGUGAGUAAUGCCUAGGAAUCUGCCUGGCAGUGGGGGAUAACGUCCGGAAACGGGCGCUAAUACCGCAUACGUCCUGCGGGAGCAAGUGGGGGAUCUUCGGACAUCACGCUAUCAGAUGAGCGUAGGUCGGAUUAGUUAGUUGGUGGGGUAAAGGCCUACCAAGGCGACGAUCCGUAACUGGUCUGAGAGGAUGAUCAGUCACACUGAAACUGAGACACGGACCAGACUCCUACGGGAGGCAGCAGUGGGCAAUGUUGGGCAGUGGGCGAAAGCCUGAUCCAGCCAUGCGGCGUGUGUGAAGAAGGUCUUCGGAUUGUAAAGCACGUUAAGUUGGGAGGAAGGGCAGUAAGUUGAUACCUUGCUGUUUUGACGUUACCAACAAAAUAAGCACCGGCUAACUACGUG